Molecule: ribosomal RNA, 970 nt
Filed under: Bacillus sp. (in: firmicutes)
Lineage: Bacteria; Bacillati; Bacillota; Bacilli; Caryophanales; Bacillaceae
Description: bacterial SSU rRNA
Rfam family: Bacterial small subunit ribosomal RNA
Source: RNAcentral
AGUCGAGCGGACAGAAGGGAGCUUGCUCCCGGAUGUUAGCGGCGGACGGGUGAGUAACACGUGGGUAACCUGCCUGUAAGACUGGGAUAACUCCGGGAAACCGGAGCUAAUACCGGAUAGUUCCUUGAACCGCAUGGUUCAAGGAUGAAAGACGGUUUCGGCUGUCACUUACAGAUGGACCCGCGGCGCAUUAGCUAGUUGGUGAGGUAACGGCUCACCAAGGCGACGAUGCGUAGCCGACCUGAGAGGGUGAUCGGCCACACUGGGACUGAGACACGGCCCAGACUCCUACGGGAGGCAGCAGUAGGGAAUCUUCCGCAAUGGACGAAAGUCUGACGGAGCAACGCCGCGUGAGUGAUGAAGGUUUUCGGAUCGUAAAGCUCUGUUGUUAGGGAAGAACAAGUGCAAGAGUAACUGCUUGCACCUUGACGGUACCUAACCAGAAAGCCACGGCUAACUACGUGCCAGCAGCCGCGGUAAUACGUAGGUGGCAAGCGUUGUCCGGAAUUAUUGGGCGUAAAGGGCUCGCAGGCGGUUUCUUAAGUCUGAUGUGAAAGCCCCCGGCUCAACCGGGGAGGGUCAUUGGAAACUGGGAAACUUGAGUGCAGAAGAGGAGAGUGGAAUUCCACGUGUAGCGGUGAAAUGCGUAGAGAAUGUGGAGGAACACCAGUGGCGAAGGCGACUCUCUGGUCUGUAACUGACGCUGAGGAGCGAAAGCGUGGGGAGCGAACAGGAUUAGAUACCCCUGGUAGUCCACGCCGUAAACGAUGAGUGCUAAGUGGUUAGGGGGUUUCCGCCCCUUAGUGCUGCAGCUAACGCAUUAAGCACUCCGCCUGGGGGAGUACGGUCGCAAGACUGAAACUCAAAGGAAUUGACGGGGGCCCGCACAAGCGGUGGGAGCAUGUGGUUUAAUUCGAAGCAACGCGAAGAACCUUACCAGGUCUGGCAUCCUCUGACAACCCUAGAAGAU